Molecule: ribosomal RNA, 495 nt
Filed under: uncultured bacterium
Lineage: Bacteria
Description: partial 16S ribosomal RNA
Rfam family: Bacterial small subunit ribosomal RNA
Source: RNAcentral
GACGAACGCUGGCGGCGUGCCUAAUACAUGCAAGUAGGACGCUGAAGGAGGAGCUUGCUUCUCUGGAUGAGUUGCGAACGGGUGAGUAACGCGUAGGUAACCUGCCUGGUAGCGGGGGACAACUAUUGGAAACGAUAGCUAAUACCGCAUAAUAGUAGAUGUUGCAUGACAUUUGCUUAAAAGGUGCAAUUGCAUCACUACCAGAUGGACCUGCGUUGUAUUAGCUAGUUGGUGGGGUAACGGCUCACCAAGGCGACGAUACAUAGCCGACCUGAGAGGGUGAUCGGCCACACUGGGACGGAGACACGGCCCAGACUACUACGGGAGGCAGCAGUAGGGAAUCUUCGGCAAUGGACGGAAGUGUGACCGAGCAACGACGCGUGAGUGAAGAAGGUUUUCGGAUCGUAAAGCUCUGUUGUAAGAGAAGAACGAGUGUGAGAGUGGAAAGUUCACACUGUGACGGUAUCUUACCAGAAAGGGACGGCUAACUACGUG